This 77-nucleotide transfer RNA is filed under the name Zoogloea sp. Its description in RNAcentral is "tRNA-Ile". It matches the Rfam family "tRNA". From Rfam's summary of the family: Transfer RNA (tRNA) molecules are approximately 80 nucleotides in length. Their secondary structure includes four short double-helical elements and three loops (D, anti-codon, and T loops). The record is from RNAcentral. Lineage: Bacteria; Pseudomonadati; Pseudomonadota; Betaproteobacteria; Rhodocyclales; Zoogloeaceae.
GGGCCCAUAGCUCAGUUGGUUAGAGCAGGCGACUCAUAAUCGCUUGGUCGGGGGUUCAAAUCCUGCUGGGCCCACCA